This 376-nucleotide unclassified non-coding RNA is filed under the name soil metagenome. RNAcentral's name for it is "partial contains 5.8S ribosomal RNA, internal transcribed spacer 2, and large subunit ribosomal RNA". The stretch from base 1 to 120 matches the Rfam family "5.8S ribosomal RNA", at positions 35 to 154 of the family's 154-position model. The record is from RNAcentral.
GAUGAAGAACGCAGCGAAAUGCGAUAAGUAAUGUGAAUUGCAGAAUUCUGUGAAUCAUCGAAUCUUUGAACGCAUCUUGCGCUCCUUGGUAUUCUGAGGAGCAUGCCUGUUUGAGUGUCAUUAAAUUCUCAACUACACUGACUUUGAAUUGGUGUGGCUUGGAUUUGGGGGGAAAAUUGUUGUGGGCUUUUUGUAUAGUCUGCUCCCCUGAAAUUGAUUAGCGGUACCUUUGUGGAACUGUCUACAGGUGUGAUAAUUAUCUACAUCUUAGACAUCUGCUGGAAUGCUGCUUUCUAAACCUUACUUGUAUUGACAAUCUUGACCUCAAAUCAGGUAGGACUACCCGCUGAACUUAAGCAUAUCAAUAAGCGGAGGA